This 67-nucleotide transfer RNA is filed under the name Verrucositermes tuberosus. RNAcentral's name for it is "tRNA-Phe". It matches the Rfam family "tRNA". Rfam says of the family: Transfer RNA (tRNA) molecules are approximately 80 nucleotides in length. Their secondary structure includes four short double-helical elements and three loops (D, anti-codon, and T loops). Lineage: Eukaryota; Metazoa; Arthropoda; Insecta; Blattodea; Termitidae. The record is from RNAcentral.
ACUUGAAUAGCUUAUUUUUAGAGCGCGACACUGAAGAUGUCGAUGAGGUAUUCAAUACCUUUAAGUA